This is a long non-coding RNA of Malaya genurostris, 355 nucleotides long. RefSeq lists it as uncharacterized. NCBI's taxonomy places the organism in Eukaryota, Metazoa, Arthropoda, Insecta, Diptera, Culicidae. The record is from RefSeq and is a predicted model, not a curated record. The transcript has 3 exons.
UAUUCAUGUAGUCCAUAUCAACAGAAUUUAUGUAGUAAUCACAUUAUCGUGUAUUUUUUGUUUUUUAACCGACUAUGUAUUUCAUUUGUGCUGACUAUACAAAUUGUCAAUAAACGAAUGUUCUAUGUUAUUGUCACAUAAAGUUACAAUAUAACAGAAAAUUUUGUACGUGGGUAACACAUCAGUGAUUGAUAUGAAAAAAAUAUUUUAUAUGAUGACUUUGUGUAAUUUGGUAGGUCUUGCAGUGAAAUCAACGUCUCGUAUACGAUUUAUUAUUCAUUAUCGGUCGCUGUAGAAAUAACAUCCAACAUAUCGCAGGAAAAAAUCCACCGGACAUCAGAGCCUUUGAUCAACU